RNAcentral lists this transfer RNA (64 nucleotides) under Microlunatus panaciterrae. RNAcentral's name for it is "tRNA-Ser". Lineage: Bacteria; Bacillati; Actinomycetota; Actinomycetes; Propionibacteriales; Propionibacteriaceae. The record is from RNAcentral.
AGCACAAACCCGGCUUGAAUGCCCUCUCAAGGCGGUAGCGCGGGUUCGAAUCCCGUCGGGGCUA